UACGUAGGGGGCAAGCGUUGUCCGGAUUUAUUGGGCGUAAAGAGCGUGUAGGCGGCCAAACAGGUCCGUUGUGAAAACUGGAGGCUCAACCUCCAGACGUCGACGGAAACCGUGUGGCUAGAGUCCGGAAGAGGAGAGUGGAAUUCCUGGUGUAGCGGUGAAAUGCGCAGAUAUCAGGAAGAACACCAAUGGCGAAGGCAGCUCGCUGGGACGGUACUGACGCUGAGACGCGAAAGCGUGGGGAGCGAACAGG
RNAcentral lists this ribosomal RNA (253 nucleotides) under uncultured bacterium. RNAcentral's name for it is "partial 16S ribosomal RNA". It matches the Rfam family "Bacterial small subunit ribosomal RNA", at positions 524 to 776 of the family's 1533-position model. The record is from RNAcentral.